CUGGCGGCGUGCCUAACACAUGCAAGUCGAACGCGAAAGGGGGCUUCGGCUCCUAAGUAGAGUGGCGUCCGGGUGAGUAACACGUAGGUAAUCUGCCUUCGGGUGGGGAAUAACCAGUCGAAAGAUUGGCUAAUACCGCAUAAUGCAGCGGCACCUAAUGGUGAUUAGUUGUUAAAGCGGGGGAUCGUAAGACCUCGCGCCUGAAGAGGAGCCUGCGGCAGAUUAGCUAGUUGGUGAGGUAAUGGCUCACCAAGGCAUCGAUCUGUAGCUGGUCUGAGAGGACGGCCAGCCACACUGGCACUGACACACGGGCCAGACUCCUACGGGAGGCAGCAGUGGGGAAUUUUGGGCAAUGGGCGAAAGCCUGACCCAGCAACGCCGCGUGAGGGAGGAAAUCCUUCGGGAUGUAAACCUCACAAGCAAGGGAAGAGAGCUCAAGGCCGAAUAAGCUUUGAGUCCGACGGUACCUUGCGUAAGCCCCGGCUAACUCCGUGCCAGCAGCCGCGGUAAUACGGGGGGGGCGAGCGUUGUUCGGAAUUACUGGGCGUAAAGGGCGCGUAGGCGGUUUGUUAAGUUGGACGUGAAAACUUUGGGCUUAACCCAGAGCCUGCAUCCAAAACUAGCAGACUAGAGUUCUGGAGGGGGUAGCGGAAUUCCUGGUGUAGCGGUGAAAUGCGUAGAUAUCAGGAGGAACACCGGUGGCGAAGGCGGCUACCUGGACAGAAACUGACGCUGAGGCGCGAAAGCCA
Molecule: ribosomal RNA, 749 nt
Filed under: uncultured soil bacterium
Lineage: Bacteria
Description: bacterial SSU rRNA
Rfam family: Bacterial small subunit ribosomal RNA
Source: RNAcentral